GCCAGAUUCCCUCCGUCGCCGCCAAGAUGAUGUGCGGGGCGCCCUCCGCCACGCAGCCGGCCACCGCCGAGACCCAGCACAUCGCCGACCAGGUGAGGUCCCAGCUUGAAGAGAAAGAAAACAAGAAGUUCCCUGUGUUUAAGGCCGUGUCAUUCAAGAGCCAGGUGCACGUCGGCGACGAGGACUUCGUACACCUGCGAGUGUUCCAAUCUCUCCCUCAUGAAAACAAGCCCUUGACCUUAUCUAACUACCAGACCAACAAAGCCAAGCAUGAUGAGCUGACCUAUUUCUGAUCCUGACUUUGGACAAGGCCCUUCAGCCAGAAGACUGACAAAGUCAUCCUCCGUCUACCAGAGCGUGCACUUGUGAUCCUAAAAUAAGCUUCAUCUCCGGGCUGUGCCCCUUGGGGUGGAAGGGGCAGGAUUCUGCAGCUGCUUUUGCAUUUCUCUUCCUAAAUUUCAUUGUGUUGAUUUCUUUCCUUCCCAAUAGGUGAUCUUAAUUACUUUCAGAAUAUUUUCAAAAUAGAUAUAUUUUUAAAAUCC
This 542-nucleotide long non-coding RNA is filed under the name Homo sapiens (human). RNAcentral's name for it is "long non-coding RNA NONHSAT191561.1". The record is from RNAcentral. Lineage: Eukaryota; Metazoa; Chordata; Mammalia; Primates; Hominidae.